UACGUAGGUGACAAGCGUUGUCCGGAUUUACUGGGCGUAAAGAGCGCGCAGGCGGUCGAUCCAGUCGAGUGUGAAAGCCCCCGGCUCAACUGGGGAGGGUCAUUCGAUACUGAUCGACUCGAAGGCAGGAGAGGGUAGUGGAAUUCCCGGUGUAGUGGUGAAAUGCGUAGAUAUCGGGAGGAACACCAGUGGCGAAGGCGGCAUCCUGGCCCUGACCUGACGCUGAGGCGCGAGAGCGUGGGGAGCAAACCGG
RNAcentral lists this ribosomal RNA (253 nucleotides) under uncultured bacterium. Its description in RNAcentral is "partial 16S ribosomal RNA". It matches the Rfam family "Bacterial small subunit ribosomal RNA", at positions 524 to 776 of the family's 1533-position model. The record is from RNAcentral.